CAUCUCCAAGAUUCACACUCUCACCCAAGGCCACCUCCUUAUUCUCCUAGUCAACAGUUCCUAAAACUGUUGUGCCCAUCAUCUUCCUUGUAAUAGUAACAUCUCCAUCUUUAAGAUUGUGGUAACCAUCAUCAAUGGAAAGUUCUAACUGCUUUCCAUUAGGCCGCUGCUGGUUUUGGAAAAUAUCGUGAGUUUCCAUGACAGUAAUGUCCUCAUCCUUUCCAAGAGAAGUUGUUCGAGCAACAGCGUCCAUGGUUGCUUCACCUUGCUCAUGAUGAGCAUCUGAUUCAACGCCAGUCGCAUCCACACGAAUGGUAUCCUGGUCAUGGAAACCAUUGUUUUGCUGACAAUCAUUGGCAUGAUCAUCCUCAUCAAGUUUAGAUAAAACUUGAAAACCAUUGGACUUUGUACCCGACUCUUUCUUUUUGUAAAGAAACUGUUUGCGACCCUUCACCACCUUCCAUCCCUCCUCACCUGAUGGAAAAAUUACAAUGGAUCCAUUGUUAUGGACUGCUGCACCAUUACGCUUUGCUGAACUCUUUAAAGGAAAAAUCGAGCGACAUAGCUCAGACUUGUGACCCACCGUUCUACACUUUAAACAUGUUGAAGGGAUGAACUCAUAAAGAAUUUCUUAUCGAUACUCCUUCCCUUUAAUCUCGAACCAAACCUCGUUUAUACAUGGAUUAUUAAAUCCAUCGCAACACAGACUCUGGGUUCUGUUCGUGAUCUCAUUUUCGUAGGCUUAUCCAUGAAGAUGGGUUUACCUACACUUAAUGAGAUACGAAACAAGGGCUCAGGCUCC
This 802-nucleotide long non-coding RNA is filed under the name Amborella trichopoda. RNAcentral's name for it is "long non-coding RNA (ATRI_LNC001188)". The record is from RNAcentral. Lineage: Eukaryota; Viridiplantae; Streptophyta; Magnoliopsida; Amborellales; Amborellaceae.